GCGCGAUUAGCUCAGCGGGAGAGCGCUUCCCUGACACGGAAGAGGUCACUGGUUCAAUCCCAGUAUCGCGCACGA
This 75-nucleotide transfer RNA is filed under the name Mycolicibacterium doricum. RNAcentral's name for it is "tRNA-Val". It matches the Rfam family "tRNA". From Rfam's summary of the family: Transfer RNA (tRNA) molecules are approximately 80 nucleotides in length. RNAcentral also lists the same sequence under 4 other names. The record is from RNAcentral. Lineage: Bacteria; Bacillati; Actinomycetota; Actinomycetes; Mycobacteriales; Mycobacteriaceae.